CGAAUCGAUAUCGCGGUACUUUGAUGCCACACGUGACAGUCACAAGGCGUCGGCGUCGCCUCAAGUCGGACAAAAUUUCUAACCAGCAUGCACUGCUUCAAGUCAGAAUUUGAUCGAGCUGCGCAGCGCUGCGUUAAGUCGAACACACCUUUUAUGUACUGUUGUGGUGCAUCAUGGGCGGUGGAAGAAACCAAAUGCAGAGAAUGGAGGGGAUUGUUUGCGUUAGACUAAAAUGCCUUUACAAUGUUGAAACAUGAACAAGGUCAUGUACAAAAAUAUACUUAUAAUUUUAUAUAAUUAUAAGAUUGGUGUUUGUUUAUUUAGUGAAUAAAACUCUUGGUUAUUUGCAAUCCUGUAAAUGGUUGUGCCCAUAAGUAUAAAUGUACAGCAGCGGAACUGGCAGGUGAUUGUUGGUCUGAGAUGGAAGUUGGAGAGUGAAGAACCCUCUGAUGACUGGAAAUAUAGCAUGCCAGCUGGAAUCUUGGAGUUGGAUAUACUGCUUUCCUGUACAAUAAUGGCGUUUUGCUUAUUACGGCUGAUUCUACCAGAGGACAUGGUGACUUCACUUUCUUCCAGACCACAACCCAAGCAAGUAUAUUUGCUUUCUCUAAUAGCUGUAUAUUUAAUCUUAAUUGAAUUGUCUGCUUUACAAUUUCAGGCUUUGUGUAAACUUAACUAGUUGAAACAGAACUGAUUGUUUCCAUUCUGCAUGUUGGCCAUUAGGUUGAGCUGUGUUCCCUAAAAGUUUUAUGAUGGUGAAUGCAGACUUUGAAAGCAGCCUUUGAUUAGGUGUAGUAAUUGUUGAGAAGUCAUCUGAGCUUGUUUACUAGAAAUAAGGAAGCAGAGAUGCAUUUAGCUAUGUGCUUAAUAAAGCUUUAGGGUUGUUAAAAUUGUUGACAGAUUGGAAAAACAAAGGCUCUCCAGUGUUUGCUUGUUUAUUUAUUUAUUUAUUUAUUU
This is a long non-coding RNA of Labeo rohita (rohu), 957 nucleotides long. RefSeq lists it as uncharacterized. Lineage: Eukaryota; Metazoa; Chordata; Actinopteri; Cypriniformes; Cyprinidae. The record is from RefSeq and is a predicted model, not a curated record. The transcript is spliced from 3 exons.